UACGUAGGGGGCAAGCGUUGUCCGGAUUUACUGGGCGUAAAGAGCGUGUAGGCGGCCAAACAGGUCCGUUGUGAAAACUGGAGGCUCAACUUCCAGGCGUCGACGGAAACCGUGUGGCUAGAGUCCGGAAGAGGAGAGUGGAAUUCCUGGUGUAGCGGUGAAAUGCGCAGAUAUCAGGAAGAACACCAAUGGCGAAGGCAGCUCUCUGGGCCGAUACUGACGCUGAGGAGCGAAAGCGUGGGGAGCGAACAGG
RNAcentral lists this ribosomal RNA (253 nucleotides) under uncultured bacterium. RNAcentral describes it as "partial 16S ribosomal RNA". It matches the Rfam family "Bacterial small subunit ribosomal RNA", at positions 524 to 776 of the family's 1533-position model. The record is from RNAcentral.